RNAcentral lists this long non-coding RNA (1778 nucleotides) under Lotus japonicus. RNAcentral describes it as "long non-coding RNA (LJAP_LNC000889)". Lineage: Eukaryota; Viridiplantae; Streptophyta; Magnoliopsida; Fabales; Fabaceae. The record is from RNAcentral.
UUUCUCUCCAUCAUUUUUAUUUCCCAAUCUUUACUCAAAUCAACAUCAAAACUAUUCACUCAAAAAGCUCCAAAAUUCCCACCGUAUAAUACUCCAAUUGAAGAAUAAAAGAAGCUGAAUCUUUCAAGUGGGUGUAUGCUCUUGGUUAGUGUUUUGGGUGUUAGGGAUUUUGCUCUAAGAGAGGAGAAGAUUACCCACCCCAUAAAGAGUAUUCACUUGAGCUCAAAGAGGUAUAUUCACAACCCAAAAAAAUUAUAAAGAAUGGUAUUCUAGUCUAUGUUAAUUUUGGGUAAAUUAAUUUUAGGAAUUUGAGCCCACAAUUAGGGAUUUCAUGGUUGCUUUUGGAUAAUAGAUAGCUAAAUUAAGUUCCUAAGGAGUUGAAAUUUGUUGUUGAUGUUCAGACUUGCCGACCACUGACUCAUCCGGACAUCUUGAAGUUGUUGGGAGCUCUUCUCUCGAUCCUUCAUAGUUGUGAGUGGUUUAUGACCAUUGUAGCAUAUUUUUAAUUACUCUAUGUUUAUGGUUUUGACUAUUUUAUUAUAACUUGAAGUAUCUAUUUAUUUAGAAUUGGGGGAAACAUCCUUUCAUUCGCAAUACUAUCUUUUAUUGAGUAUUUAAGGAUAGGCAAUCAAAAAUGAAUAAUGAAUUUGAGAAUGAUUUUAGUUUGUUUUAAGCUAUGAAGUUACAAACUUUAUGUAUUGAAUCAUGUUGAACUGAGAAUUACAUCUUGAUGAGCUUUGAUAAUCAUUGAGAACAUUCAUAUUUGAAACUUUGAUAUGAGAUUGCUUAUGGUUUUGAAAAGAUGGUUGUGGGAAUAUACAUGUUAGAACCCCGUAGCCGUUAACGGAGGUAACGGCCUAGGUGCACCUAGUUAUUUGAUUCCGGGUGGAGAGGGCUAUCCGUUAGAUGGAGCCGCCAGUGCACGGAAAGGGCUAUCAACGAGAUGUAGCUUCCCCCGAUGAGAUUGAUGAGAUAUGACAUGAUUCCGGGUGGAGAGGGCUAUCUGUUAGAUGGAGCCGCCUCUUGGAUACGAUAAUCCUUAAGAGGAAAGGGCUAUCAACGAGAUGUAGCUUCCCCCGAUGACACGAUGUGACUUGAGAAAGGAAAGGGCUAUCCGUUAGAUGGAGCCGCCCCUAGGGGAAAGGCCACCCCGUAGGAGGAAAGGGCUAUCAACGAGAUGGAGCCGCCUUAUGAUUAUGGUUCUCAAAUGUGUGUUCCCUAUUGUAUUUGGAUUAUCGGAUUUUGAGUGAUUUUAUAAAUUGAAAAUGCUUUAACCGCAUUAUGAUUCUUUAAGUUUUCUCUAUGUCAAAGUGAUAUUAAUUUGAGUUAGUAAAGCAUGAAGCUUUUACCAUACCAUAUAUGUUUUAUGAAAGUGAUUUGAGUUACUUGACUUGAUCAAAUGUCAUAUUUAUCCUGAGUUUUAAAGAGAAAAUCGUGCCUAUGAUGUUCCCCUUCUAGUUCAUGGUGGUUUAUAGGCCCUCACUAAGUCUUUGUGACUUACCCCCUCCUUAUUUCCAUUUCAGAUUCACAGGUAGCUGAGUAGGAGGUUGCGUCAGUUGCAGCUUGUACAGUUACUUCUUUUUGGUAGGCCUCCUACUGUUGGUGGCCAUGUUGAUGUCUUUUGUUAAUCUUUUUGGUAUUCUGCAGCUGUAGGGAAUAUGUAAUAGUUAUAUUUUGUAAAGUGUAAAAGUUAUACGAUGUAUUUGAUGAUGUUACUUCUUGGAUAAUGGAUAUGUGUAGAUUUGGAUCUCUGGCUGAAUGAUAUACCUCUUUAGCAG